This 229-nucleotide long non-coding RNA is filed under the name Lathyrus oleraceus (garden pea). RNAcentral describes it as "Pisum sativum (pea) long non-coding RNA (PSAT_LNC041508)". Lineage: Eukaryota; Viridiplantae; Streptophyta; Magnoliopsida; Fabales; Fabaceae. The record is from RNAcentral.
GCUCAUUCAGCUGUAUCAUGAGAAUCAGCUAAACAGUCAAACUGGGGCAUCAAAAAAAAAAAAAAAUAUAUAUAAAAAAAAAAAAAGAGAAGAGGGUGAAAAAGAUGAAAAAAUCAAAAAUCAGGAAAAUUUUUUCAAAAAUUUUCCAAGAGAAAAAAGAAAAAAUUAUACCCUCAAGUCCCUAGUUGACUGAAGCUGAAUGGAUUCAGAGUCGUUACGACCAAUUGAA